Molecule: small RNA, 1096 nt
Filed under: Rattus norvegicus (Norway rat)
Lineage: Eukaryota; Metazoa; Chordata; Mammalia; Rodentia; Muridae
Description: uncharacterized LOC103691162
Source: RNAcentral
CACACACACACACACACACAUAGGUAUAGGUAAAUUGAAACUGCUCAAAGGCACUUUCAGAUUGCAAGAGUGUUGGGCUAGGACACCUAGAUCAGAAGUUUCUAAGUGGCCCCCGAGAGAAGAUCAUUGUGCUUUGCUGGCCCAGUAUUUGUUCUGUUCCCUAUUGUGUUUGCAGAGGUGCCCAGUGGCAGCAGACUUUGUAAAGAACAGCUGCUGGAUGAAGCAAUUAUUCCUGGAACUUCCAAGUCGUAACCUCAGAUCCACAGGACCUGAAAAUCUGCCAUGGAUACACCGGGCCAGCAGUGAUGAAGGUCUCCAUAUUCCUAUAGGCAAAACCCUCUGCCUUGGUCCACCUGGAAGUACAGCCUGUCUGUCAGCUCAACCCACCAUGCUACAUCUUCAAGCAUCCCAGCUUUCCUAAGCCAAAGAAUUACCAAGAACAUAUUGGUAUCAGCAUACAGAGGUGUGUUGGUAUGAAUGUGUCCUAGAAAUGGAGGAAACCCACAAAGGAGGAACGGGAUGGCACGUGUGCACGCUACUGCAGGAGGUGAGAGUUCAUCUCAGCAUGCAAGAUCCUCCUGGAGCCCUGCUGCACUUGGAAUCUCCUGCAUGCCCCAACCUCUGGGUGAGGCAUCCUGAAUCAGGCACAGCUUGGGGAAUGUAUUUUAGGCUAUCUUAGUUCCCUGUAUUUUCUGAUUGGGAUCAUGGAAUAGAUUCUGAAAACAAAAACAACAACCACUAAAUCCUAACCUAUUGAAAGGCAGACUAUGAAACUUUUCUGCAGAGUUAGGAAGUCUGACAGUUAAGAUUUAGUUCACAGUUCUCUGUUGGACGGAGAGUGUGGGUAGAUUUCACACAGAGAAGGGGAGCCUAGGGAGGGGGACAGUCUCCCAUAGAGCUAGCAGCACAGUGCCUUGGCCUCAGCCUUGCAGUCAAGGAGUCUUAGAGCAAAUGUGUUAACAUCUUGCAGGUACAGAGAAGUCUACAUGGUGUGGUGAGGCCAGCCCUACCCCCAGGGAGUAAGAGCAAAGCACUCUGGGAGAAUGGACAUGCUGGCAUCUGCCUUCAUCAUCUGAGGCAUUUAGGUUUUUAUUAU